RNAcentral lists this ribosomal RNA (506 nucleotides) under uncultured bacterium. RNAcentral describes it as "bacterial SSU rRNA". It matches the Rfam family "Bacterial small subunit ribosomal RNA", at positions 29 to 509 of the family's 1533-position model. The record is from RNAcentral.
AAUGAACGUUGGUGGCGUGGAUUAGGCAUGCAAGUCGAGCGAGAACCUCGCUGCGGAGGCUUCGGCCGAAGUAGUGAGGGGAAAGCGGCUAACGGGGUAGUAAUACGUAGGUGACGUACCUCAGGGACUGGGAUAGCCACGGGAAACUGUGGGUAAUACCAGAUGAUCUUUUCGGGCAUGGUCGUCUGAAAAGCAAAAGGUGUGAUUCCGCCCUGAGAGCGGCUUACGCGGUACUAGGUAGUUGGUGAGGUAACGGCCCACCAAGCCUGAGAUGCCUAGGGGGUGUGAGAGCAUGACCCCCACCACUGGGACUGAGACACUGCCCAGACACCUACGGGUGGCUGCAGUCGAGAAUCUUCGGCAAUGGACGAAAGUCUGACCGAGCGACGCCACGUGCGGGAUGAAGGCCCUUGGGUUGUAAACCGCUGUCAGAGGGGAUGAAAUUCACGGGGGCAAUCCCCCGUGAUUGACAGAGCCUCAGAGGAAGCACGGGCUAAGUACGUGCC